UUUGAGUUUGAUCAUGGCUCAGGAUGAACGCUGGCGGCGUGCUUAACACAUGCAAGUCGAACGAUGAACUGGUGCUUGCAUCGGGGAUUAGUGGCGAACGGGUGAGUAACACGUGAGUAACCUGCCCUUAACUCUGGGAUAAGCCUGGGAAACUGGGUCUAAUACUGGAUAUUGACUUUUCCUCGCAUGGGGUUUGGUUGAAAGAUUUUUUGGUUUUGGAUGGACUCGCGGCCUAUCAGCUUGUUGGUGAGGUAAUGGCUUACCAAGGCGACGACGGGUAGCCGGCCUGAGAGGGUGACCGGCCACACUGGGACUGAGACACGGCCCAGACUCCUACGGGAGGCAGCAGUGGGGAAUAUUGCACAAUGGGCGAAAGCCUGAUGCAGCGACGCCGCGUGAGGGAUGACGGCCUUCGGGUUGUAAACCUCUUUCAGUAGGGAACAAGGCCAUA
Molecule: ribosomal RNA, 451 nt
Filed under: Arthrobacter sp. 1o
Lineage: Bacteria; Bacillati; Actinomycetota; Actinomycetes; Micrococcales; Micrococcaceae
Description: SSU rRNA
Rfam family: Bacterial small subunit ribosomal RNA
Source: RNAcentral